CCUACGGGAGGCAGCAGUGGGGAAUAUUGGACAAUGGGGGGAACCCUGAUCCAGCCAUGCCGCGUGUGUGAAGAAGGCCCUCGGGUUGUAAAGCACUUUCAGUGAGGAAGAACGCCUGGUGGUUAAUACCCAUCAGGAAAGACAUCACUCACAGAAGAAGCACCGGCUAACUCCGUGCCAGCAGCCGCGGUAAUACGGAGGGUGCGAGCGUUAAUCGGAAUUACUGGGCGUAAAGCGCGCGUAGGUGGCUUGAUAAGCCGGUUGUGAAAGCCCCGGGCUCAACCUGGGAACGGCAUCCGGAACUGUCAAGCUAGAGUGCAGGAGAGGAAGGUAGAAUUCCCGGUGUAGCGGUGAAAUGCGUAGAGAUCGGGAGGGAUACCAGUGGCGAAGGCGGCCUUCUGGACUGACACUGCCACUGAGGUGCGAAAGCGUGGGUAGCAAACAGGAUUAGAUACCCUUGUAGUC
RNAcentral lists this ribosomal RNA (465 nucleotides) under Vreelandella stevensii. RNAcentral's name for it is "partial 16S ribosomal RNA". It matches the Rfam family "Bacterial small subunit ribosomal RNA", at positions 338 to 795 of the family's 1533-position model. The record is from RNAcentral. Lineage: Bacteria; Pseudomonadati; Pseudomonadota; Gammaproteobacteria; Oceanospirillales; Halomonadaceae.